CAUCAACCUAACGUCAGGUCACCGAUGAUCUGAUAAUCUAUAAUCCACAGAGGACCAUCAGCCUAACGUCAGGUCACUUAUGAUCUGAUAAUCUAUAAUCCACAGAGGACCAUCAGCCUAACGUCAGGUCACUGAUGAUCUGAUAAUCUAUAAUCCACAGAGGACCAUCAGCCUAACGUCAGGUCACUGAUGAUCUGAUAAUCUAUAAUCCACAGAGGACCAUCAGUCUAACGUCAGGUCACUGAUGAUCUGAUAAUCUAUAAUCCACAGAGGACCAUCAGCCUAAAGUCAGGUCACUGAUGAUCUGAUAAUCUAUAAUCCACAGAGGACCAUCAGCCUAAAGUCAGGUCACUGAUGCUCUGAUAAUCUAUAAUCCACAGAGGACCAUCAGCCUAACGUCAGGUCACUGAUGAUAUGAUAAUCUGUAAUCCACAGAGGACCAUCAGCCUAAUGUCAGGUCACUGAUGAUCUGAUAAUCUGUAAUCCACAGAGGAACAUCAGCUCAGAACAUUGAUUCUAUGGAUACAUACUGUAUACAGUUCACAUGAGAUUUAAAAUAAGGCAAUUGGGCUGUGUCUGCAGGACCAGCAGGGUUUGGGGAUUUAGGAGAUGUGUGUGUGUGUCUGUGUGUGUGUGUGUGUGUGUGUGUGUGUGUGUG
This is a long non-coding RNA of Austrofundulus limnaeus, 658 nucleotides long. RefSeq lists it as uncharacterized. NCBI's taxonomy places the organism in Eukaryota, Metazoa, Chordata, Actinopteri, Cyprinodontiformes, Rivulidae. The record is from RefSeq and is a predicted model, not a curated record. The transcript is spliced from 3 exons.